This 253-nucleotide ribosomal RNA is filed under the name uncultured bacterium. RNAcentral's name for it is "partial 16S ribosomal RNA". It matches the Rfam family "Bacterial small subunit ribosomal RNA", at positions 524 to 776 of the family's 1533-position model. The record is from RNAcentral.
UACGAAGGGGGCUAGCGUUGCUCGGAAUCACUGGGCGUAAAGCGCACGUAGGCGGAUUGUUAAGUCAGGGGUGAAAUCCUGGAGCUCAACUCCAGAACUGCCUUUGAUACUGGCGAUCUCGAGUCCGGGAGAGGUGAGUGGAACUGCGAGUGUAGAGGUGAAAUUCGUAGAUAUUCGCAAGAACACCAGUGGCGAAGGCGGCUCACUGGCCCGGUACUGACACUGAGAGACGAAAGCUAGGGGAGCAAAUGGG